CAGCCGCCACGGGAAUACGGAGGGGGCUAGCGUUGUUCGGAAUUACUGGGCGUAAAGCGCACGUAGGCGGCUUGGUAAGUUAGAGGUGAAAGCCUGGAGCUCAACUCCAGAAUUGCCUUUAAGACUGCCGAGCUAGCAGGUGAGAGAGGUAAGUGGAAUUCCGAGUGUAGAGGUGAAAUUCGUAGAUAUUCGGAAGAACACCAGUGGCGAAGGCGGCUUACUGGCUCAUACUGGACGCUGAGGUGCGAAAGCGUGGGGAGCAAACAGGAUUAGAUACCCGAGUAGUCCCUGUCUCUUAUAC
Molecule: ribosomal RNA, 301 nt
Filed under: uncultured bacterium
Lineage: Bacteria
Description: partial 16S ribosomal RNA
Rfam family: Bacterial small subunit ribosomal RNA
Source: RNAcentral